This 445-nucleotide ribosomal RNA is filed under the name uncultured bacterium. Its description in RNAcentral is "partial 16S ribosomal RNA". It matches the Rfam family "Bacterial small subunit ribosomal RNA", at positions 354 to 796 of the family's 1533-position model. The record is from RNAcentral.
GUGAGGAAUAUUGGUCAAUGGACGGAAGUCUGAACCAGCCAUGCCGCGUGCAGGAAUAAGGUCCUAUGGAUUGUAAACUGCUUUUAUUCGGGAAUAAACCUCUUUACGUGUAGGGAGCUGAAGGUACCGAAGGAAUAAGCACCGGCUAACUCCGUGUCAGCAGCCGCGGUAAUAUGGAGGGUGCAAGCGUUAUCCGGAAUCAUUGGGUUUAAAGGGUCCGCAGGCGGGCUAUCAAGUCAGAGGUGAAAUCCCACAGCUUAACUGUGGAACUGCCUUUGAAACUGAUGGUCUUGAAUUAAGUGGGCGUUGGCGGAAUAUGACAUGUAGCGGUGAAAUGCAUAGAUAUGUCAUGGAACACCGAAAGCGAAGGCAGCUAACGAUACUUAUAUUGACGCUCAUGGACGAAAGCGUGGGUAGCGAACAGGAUUAGAAACCCUGGUAGUCC